GAAGCUGUAGCUCAGGGGUAAAGCGCUUGCUUGGCAUGCAUGAGGCACUGAGUUUGAUCCUUAGCAUCA
RNAcentral lists this transfer RNA (69 nucleotides) under Marmota monax (woodchuck). It matches the Rfam family "tRNA". From Rfam's summary of the family: Transfer RNA (tRNA) molecules are approximately 80 nucleotides in length. Lineage: Eukaryota; Metazoa; Chordata; Mammalia; Rodentia; Sciuridae. The record is from Rfam by way of RNAcentral.